UAGAGUGAUAUAAAAGGAUCACAUCAUUAAUGAGAAUAAACUAUAUGUAGAAGUAGAGAAUUCCCAUGACUAAAGUGAGUCAGAGUGUUAACAGGAAUAAAAGGGAGUGUGUGUUUUCAAGUAAUGGAAAAUGUGAAGCAUUUGCCUGCAGAAAGAAUGUUUUUAUUUUCAGAUUCACAGAUUUGCAUACAACAGUCAGAAGUGGAGCGGAGCAGAACAGUCUGUGGAUACUUAAUCACAGACUAUGAACAGAGGUCAUGUUGUGAGCUAAUGCUGGGCAUCAGGAUUCCCCUCACUGCACAUCAAGUUCAGUAUCAUUUGCUUGUCAUGAGGUGUUGGUAGCUAUUCUGCACUGUUCUGUCCUUUCCUAAAAUUGGAUCCUUUCACUGGCUACAAUGGGAUAACUUGCAAAGAUUGGACAAUUGCUUCUUUUCAAGUGAGGCAGAAUGGUCUAGUGGACUGUACCCAGGGCUGGAGGCAAGAACUGCUGAGGUCUAAUCCUGCAACUGACACUGUGUGACUUUGAGUUUGCCAAUAUCCUUCUGGAAUUGUGGACGCCAGAACUGGACACAGUAUUCGAGCAGUGAUCACACCAGUGCCAAAUACAGAGCAUGGCAAGCUGUGAGUGCAGAGCUCAUCAGCAG
Chelonia mydas (Green sea turtle) is the source of this 644-nucleotide long non-coding RNA. RefSeq lists it as uncharacterized. The record is from RefSeq and is a predicted model, not a curated record. The transcript is spliced from 4 exons. NCBI's taxonomy places the organism in Eukaryota, Metazoa, Chordata, Testudines, Cheloniidae.